Molecule: unclassified non-coding RNA, 100 nt
Organism: Gorilla gorilla gorilla (western lowland gorilla)
Lineage: Eukaryota; Metazoa; Chordata; Mammalia; Primates; Hominidae
Rfam family: Y RNA
About the family: Y RNAs are components of the Ro ribonucleoprotein particle (Ro RNP), in association with Ro60 and La proteins.
Source: Ensembl
GGUUGAUCCAAAGGUAAUGAGUUAUCAAUUCACAGUCACAGAUCAAACUCCUUGUUCUACUCUUUCCUCCCUUUUCACUAUUGCAUGUGGCUAGUCUUCA